Molecule: ribosomal RNA, 506 nt
Filed under: uncultured bacterium
Lineage: Bacteria
Description: partial 16S ribosomal RNA
Rfam family: Bacterial small subunit ribosomal RNA
Source: RNAcentral
AGUGAACGCUGGCGGUAGGCCUAACACAUGCAAGUCGAACGGCAGCACAGAGGAGCUUGCUCCUUGGGUGGCGAGUGGCGGACGGGUGAGGAAUACAUCGGAAUCUACUCUGUCGUGGGGGAUAACGUAGGGAAUCUUACGCUAAUACCGCAUACGACCUACGGGUGAAAGCAGGGGAUCUUCGGACCUUGCGCGAUUGAAUGAGCCGAUGUCGGAUUAGCUAGUUGGCGGGGUAAAGGCCCACCAAGGCGACGAUCCGUAGCUGGGCUGAGCGGAUGAUCAGCGAGACUGGAACUGAGACACGCGCCAGACUCAUACGGGAGGCAGAAGUGGGGAAUAUUGGACAAUGGGCGCAAGCCUGAUCCGGCUAUACCGCGUGGGUGAAGAAGGCCUUCGGGUUGUAAAGCCCUUUUGUUGGGAAAGAAAUCCAUCUGGUUAAUACCCGGGUGGGAUGACGGUACCCAAAGAAUAAGCACCGGCUAACUUCGUGCCAGCAGCCGCCGUAA